AGCAGGGACCACACCCCUGCAGGCACGCAGCCCGACAGGCCAAUCGCCACGAAAACCCUGCUCGCUCCUUUGAUUGGUUUUAGCCAUGACGCGCCCUCCCAAAUGCCUCUCGGAUUGGCCUAUUUCUUGGUUCUGACCUGGACGGUGGCCAGAGGAGGACAAGAGGCUUCUGUAAGGGAUGGAGGGACUGAAUGGAAAGACGGCUGGGAUGACCUCUGAGGCACAGCCGCACAUCGAUUAGCGGCCGGGCUCCAGGGACGUGGCAGCCGCUUCUGUGGUGUCGGUGCUGCUGGUGGCGACUGAGAGGAACCGGUGGCGGCGUGGACUGAGCCUGCUGCUGCUGCUACUGCUGCAGCCGCCGCCGCCGCCAAGAUCUACAUGUAAGAAUAGGAUUGCUCGUCAUAGAGUGACUGAUUUUUUGAAGAACUGCCAAACUGUUUUUCAAAGUGGCUGCACCAUUUUACAUUCCCAUCAGCAGUGCAAUGUUCACACAACUGGUGUUACUUUUGGUCCUGUUUAUCGGGGUGGCCUUGGGUUAUCCUGUACAUUUCUCAUUCCUCAUAUCAAGAUAUAAAAUUCAAAUCUUAAAUUUGGAAAGAAGCUGCUUUGAAGUCAUCUGUUCCAAUCCCCUCCCAGUAUAGCAGUCUUGCGUGUUGUGUGCAGUCUGUUUUGUGGGAGCAUUCUGAAUGAUGCUUGUUUUGAAUAAAGCAGAAAUAUGUUGAACCACGGAAUUCGGGAUCAAAUCCUUGAGAAAUACCAUAAAUUAAAUACAAGUAUUCAGGUUGUGUUGCUUUCUGCCUCAGUGCCAGUCGAUCUGCUGUAAGACAUCAGAAAGUUCAUGAGAGAUCCAUUUUUAAAUUCUGGUGAAGAAGGAAGAAUGGACCCUUGAAAGGAUCAAUAUUUUAUAAUAAUUUUGAAAAAUUGGCAGUAGGAGGAAAGCAAUGGCCAUAAGCAUUGAAGAAGACAAAGGAUUCUUCACUGAGACUUUCUACCAUACUAUAGUGGAAGAAAUUUCAAUGAAUGUGGCUGACUUUAUUUUAUUCCUUUGGUGAUAUAGUGAAUGUAGUGUUCACUGUUGCUGAAUAGGUGACUGCAACAUGCAUUGUGCUUCUUUCUUUGGGAAUAUUUGAAUCUUAUCUGAGUACACAUAACAGAUCAAAAAUACAGAUUUUGAUAACAAAGUGACUUGAGUCACAAGCUCUUUUGAGGAAAAUCGUUGACUUUCCUCUUUCAAGUUAGACUAUUGGGAUUGUGUAUGAAAGAUGAGACUAUAAAAAUCUUUCUUAGAAAUUUAUUUUCUAGUUCUGUAAAACCUGUUAUAUUGAGUGUUCUCUAUCAUUUAAAGAAAUAUUUGUGGACUGAAAAUUAUGUCCUGUAUAUAAGCAGCCAAUUCAACUAGUGAUCUGCCUUUAUUGUGUUAGUCAUUAGACUGAAUAGAAUAAACUUUUAAAUAAUUUAAAAAUUA
Long non-coding RNA from Pteropus alecto (black flying fox), 1465 nucleotides. RefSeq lists it as uncharacterized. Lineage: Eukaryota; Metazoa; Chordata; Mammalia; Chiroptera; Pteropodidae. The transcript has 6 exons. The record is from RefSeq and is a predicted model, not a curated record.